AUUGAACGCUGGCGGCAUGCCUUACACAUGCAAGUCGAACGGUAACGGGCCUUCGGGUGCCGACGAGUGGCGUACGGGUGAGUAAUACAUCGGAACGUGCCCGAUCGUGGGGGAUAACGAGGCGAAAGCUUUGCUAAUACCGCAUACGAUCUACGGAUGAAAGCAGGGGACCGCAAGGCCUUGCGCGGACGGAGCGGCCGAUGGCAGAUUAGGUAGUUGGUGGGAUAAAAGCUUACCAAGCCGACGAUCUGUAGCUGGUCUGAGAGGAUGAUCAGCCACACUGGGACUGAGACACGGCCCAGACUCCUACGGGAGGCAGCAGUGGGGAAUUUUGGACAAAGGGCGCAAGCCUGAUCCAGCCAUGCCGCGUGCAGGAUGAAGGCCUUCGGGUUGUAAACUGCUUUUGUACGGAACGAAAAGCCUUCUUUUAAUACAGGAGGGUCAUGACGGUACCGUAAGAAUAAGCACCGGCUAACUACGUG
This 482-nucleotide ribosomal RNA is filed under the name uncultured bacterium. RNAcentral describes it as "partial 16S ribosomal RNA". It matches the Rfam family "Bacterial small subunit ribosomal RNA", at positions 30 to 507 of the family's 1533-position model. The record is from RNAcentral.